Cyprinus carpio carpio is the source of this 2304-nucleotide long non-coding RNA. The record is from Ensembl. Lineage: Eukaryota; Metazoa; Chordata; Actinopteri; Cypriniformes; Cyprinidae.
AUGUGGCAGGGCAUCCAGACCAUCAGUGACUACAAGCCAAGCAACUCUACUCCAGCGGUCACAGACAUCUCCUUCCUUUACAAGCUAAAUGACAUUUAUGCUCGCUUCAACAGCGACAGCAAGGAGACAGCCACCAAGAUCACACUCUCAGCAAACCACCAACCCCACAAACUCACCUCCACAGAUGUCCACACUGCAUUGAACCAGAUCAAUGCAUGCAAGACUGCUUGCCUGGACGGCAUUCCUGGACGUGUGCUUAGGGCAUGUGCAGAGCAUCUUGCCGGCCAGAGCGGUUCCGUUUAAGGCACAGUGGGGAACGGAAAGCGCCAGUCUCUCCGAGGUCCUGGCACUCAUUUAGUCCGGUUCAGGCAGUGUCUGUAUUGCAGGGAAGAAUCGAGGAGACUGAAAGCGAACGGAAAUGUCCAGCCCUGCGAAGGCGCGCGCUAUAUUGCAUUCAUUUCUCUGGGGGGAAAUAAGUCCACCUAAAAUAGAUCCAAUGAGGAAUCCAGCGUUAGAAAGGAGCAUGUGCGCAGAAAGAUCAAUUGCAUUUCUAGUCACGUUAGAAACCGUCCUUUAAAACAAUUUCAAUUCCUUACCCACACACACACAAUCUGUUUAAGAACAAAAGCGAUCUGCUUCGCGAGCCUCUGAAGGGCGCGCUCGCCGGUCGCGAACUUUGCGGCGUUUGCGCGCAAACAAUGCCGCGGCGCGUUAUAGCUAUUCUCUCAGCCCGUGCUCCUUUUCCCCAAGCUACUCUUUCACAAUUACAAAACCCAUUCAUUUGCUUCGGCGUGCGUUUCUCAACUGCGGCAUUCCUUCAGAUCAGCCAGCAGCAGGGCUGAGGAAAAUAACCCAUAAACAGGGAUAACUAGAGAUAACUCGCUUAAUCAAUCAAAUGAGCAUGCGAAGAUCUACAUGAAAACCGGUAGUUUACCUGCCUCUACUGUGAAAUGUCGCUGCUCCGGAGGCGAAGACCGAUCGUGGUUGCAAAUUGUGGAGGAAAAGGAGCGGAAUCCAGCCAAUCGCUGCAGCUCGCAAUGACGUAUCGCCUUGGAUAAACCAAACGCUCCAGAGCCUCAUUCAGACAUACAGUAUGUUCAGAUGACUAUACGUGGUGUGUUACUCAAAUGUAUGGAGGUUAAACAAGGGGACGUGCCGUCAACAAACGUCCCCUGCCUGUUAUUUGAGCGCUUAUUCACCCGCGUUUAUCAUAACUUUACGCGUAAGGGAAUGCAAUGCGACAACUUUAUAUCAUUAGGAAUGAAGAUAAAGAGUUAACCAUCUCUCUUACAGUGAUGGGAUUUGUUUACGCGAUUAAUGAAUAAACUAGCCUAUUGCUUUAGUCUGCACAAUCUGUUCGUGGGUCGCGAAAUUGGUGCCACUAAAUAUCGCCUGUAUGGAGUCAUUUUAAACAAGACUUUUUUUAUGAUGUAUUGGCAAUGAAAAUAUAGAAUGAAGUGAUUAACACUGACAGUAGCUACCAGUCUGAAACGGAUUGCAUUGACACUGAAAGGUUGUUCAAGUGAAUGGGAUAGUGUCUAUUUGUUUGUUGCACGCGGUUUUACCAACAUUUGUGUUUACUGAAACGUUUGAGCACAAUACUGAGCUGUUGCUGUAGGCCUACUUUGUGUAACGCUGAAUGUGUUUAAUAGUGAAUGUGCUUGAUGUCAGUUCAUUGUCGCGGAUUUUCCCUGAGAAUAUCCUCUAAACACAUGAUGAACCACACAAAAACACAAGCAGCGCGUGACUGAACUGGACAGCAUUUCCAGCUGGGCUGCAGGCGCGCUGUCCGAGACUGACUUGAGAAUGCCUUUUAAAUUCCAAUUCAGUUACUGCAAACAGAAUGCAGAUUAUAACUUCUGUAUGCAGUUUUUAAAGAUAACUACUUUUGUGUUUCUAUUUUUGAAUAAAAGGCUAUUUGAUGGAAACUUGGCACAUAAAAGGUGAUUAGCUAUUAUUACUAUGCUUGUAUGUUUAUAACUCAAUAUUGUAUAUUAUCUGUCAUUAAAAAUGUUGAUAUCAACCCUUUUUUAUAUAAAGAUAUCUGAAAAUAAUGUGUUGCAUAUUGUGUGAUGCUGUAUGGUCAAAUGAAAGUCUGUUUUGCUGUGUUAAUUGUUCUGAUAGUAUUAAAUUCAGUUUAACAGAAAAAUAUUAAAUAUUUGAUGAGAAAAUUGUAUUUUACAUAUGAGGGACUGAAGAAUCAUAAUUGCUAUCUUUGAGUAGGACUAAAGAAAUUAAUUUCUUACGUGACUGUGUUGGAGUUGCUGUUCAGUAAAUGUUCUCCCUUCUUCCUUAUUUCCUUCA